AGAAGUGGUUUAUCAAAUAAUGAACUUCUAACUCAUUUAAUUAGUGGUGAAACCCCAUUGACACUUCUA
Molecule: transfer RNA, 69 nt
Filed under: Velutinodorcus velutinus
Lineage: Eukaryota; Metazoa; Arthropoda; Insecta; Coleoptera; Lucanidae
Description: tRNA-Ser
Source: RNAcentral